This 253-nucleotide ribosomal RNA is filed under the name uncultured bacterium. Its description in RNAcentral is "partial 16S ribosomal RNA". It matches the Rfam family "Bacterial small subunit ribosomal RNA", at positions 524 to 776 of the family's 1533-position model. The record is from RNAcentral.
UACGGAGGGGGCUAGCGUUGUUCGGAAUUACUGGGCGUACAGCGAACGUAGGCGGCUUGGUAAGUUAGAGGUGAAAGCCUGGGGCUCAACCCCAGAAUUGCCGUUAAGACUGCAUCGCUUGAAUCCAGGAGAGGUGAGUGGAAUUCCGAGUGUAGAGGUGAAAUUCGUAGAUAUUCGGAAGAACACCAGUGGCGAAGGCGGCUCACUGGACUGGUAUUGACGCUGAGGUUCGAAAGCGUGGGGAGCAAACAGG